Molecule: small RNA, 551 nt
Filed under: Pan troglodytes (chimpanzee)
Lineage: Eukaryota; Metazoa; Chordata; Mammalia; Primates; Hominidae
Description: processed transcript
Source: RNAcentral
UACCCAAUGGGAAGAGGAAAAGAGGACUCAAUGACAACCGGAAAGGACUAGACCAAAAUAUUGUGGGUGCAAUAAAAGUCUUCACAGAAAAGUACUGUACAGCUAACCAUGUGGAUAAGCUUCCUGGCCCAAGAGAUUGGGUACAGAUUCUACAGGAUCAAAUUAAACUGGCCAGAAGAAGGUUAAAAAGAGGCUCAGAGAUCGCGGACAGUGAUGAAAGACUGGAUGGCAUUUCUCUACCACCAACAGGACUCUACUGACUUCCCUCCAAAGGAUAUCUGAAGAUUCUCUGCCCACAAAACCCAGGAAAAAAAGCCUGAGGCCCAGAAACAUUAAGUGGCUUUCCCACGGCCUCACAGCUGGUUGACGGCCUGGCCGGAACCCAGGUCCCUCGACUCCCAGCCAUGAUACCGUAUAGCUUUCUCAUACCUAAGCCAAAGCCAGCUUUUCUCUGCAUGUUUCUUAAAGAUCCUAAGAGAUGAUGGAUGUGCUAAUCCCUUUAGGAGUCCUCUUCACUGUCUCAGUCUUCACAAUUAAAAUGUUCGUCGUCA